Gorilla gorilla gorilla (western lowland gorilla) is the source of this 148-nucleotide non-coding RNA. It matches the Rfam family "Metazoan signal recognition particle RNA". Rfam says of the family: The signal recognition particle (SRP) is a universally conserved ribonucleoprotein. The record is from Rfam. NCBI's taxonomy places the organism in Eukaryota, Metazoa, Chordata, Mammalia, Primates, Hominidae.
GCCAGGCCUGGUGGUGUGGGCCUGUAGUCCCAACUACUCAGGAGGCUGAGUAGGGAGGAUUGCUUGAGCCCAGGAGGCAGAGGUUGCAGUGAGCCGAGAUCAAGCCACUGCAUUCCAGCCUGGGCAACAGAGCAAGACCCUGUCUCAA